RNA transcript from Gadus macrocephalus (Pacific cod), 2230 nucleotides. RefSeq lists it as uncharacterized. The transcript has 6 exons. NCBI's taxonomy places the organism in Eukaryota, Metazoa, Chordata, Actinopteri, Gadiformes, Gadidae. The record is from RefSeq and is a predicted model, not a curated record.
UAUAUGUCUCUAUUGGUAGAUGCCGACCUAAUCACACAGUCUCCUAAUCACACAGUUGUCUGUUGUUUUUGCUGGAGUCUAGAGUUUUUUGUCUGUCCUUUGUCAGAGGCUAUUCAACUUCAAGUCCACCCUGCUUACUGCUAACAAUGGGGCUGGAGGUAAAGUGGUAAAGUGUGUAUCUCCAAGGCAACUGUUGCCAAUGCAAAACACUCAAGGACAACAUUCCGCUUAACAAACACAUGAUUAACUAGUACUGUAUGGACUGGGAUUAUAUGUAUUUAUUUUUCAUACAUCCAUUAUAGGCUGCACCAGCCGUUUUCUUGGGAUGUAUGACGAUGUAGGGUUCAAAAACGAGAAUAGAGAGAGAGAGUUGGAACGCCUGCUAGAAAUGGAAAGAAUGAAACUUCACCGACUGAGGGACACAGCCGGCUUCAACUUCACCAUGAAACUACCAGGCAUUCGCUUGGCCUCCACUCCGGUGAUUAUUCCUCACAGCUCACCUCCCUCACGCCAGAGUCGUUGCCUGAUGGUCACGUCUUUGGCGUUGCCAAAGAUCUCACAUGUGACCCAGUCCUGGAAAGACUUUCAGAGCCUUCCCAGGCUGAACCCUCUGCAUCCCCCGCUGGUCCCUAAACGCACCGUAUGCCUGGAGACGUUGGCUGUCCACCACCACAAUCAGCAGAGGUCCCUCUGCAUGCAGAGGAAGGAACACUACACGUAUCAUCAAGGGUGGCGGAGACCUUUCUAUGGUACCAGCAGUGAGAGAGAGGAUUAUCGGUAUAAAAUAGCCCCCCCCCCCAUUGAUUCAACAAGCCUCGGGGUCGUCUUUCAUCGAAAGAGAUACGAGAGCAGCUGAAAAAGCAGAUAGAGGAGAAAGGGGUUGGGUUGAGGCUGCAGCUGGCCAGUAAAGUGAAGGAGGCUGACUACAUGCGCGAUGAGGAGCGCCGCGCUGUGACCAGAGACAGAGAGGAGCGCAUCAAACACAACAGAGCGAUGACGCUUUACCGAGAUGAGAAUAAGAAGCUAAUGGAGCAGACAUGGAGAGACAGAGCACUAACCCGAUCCCUCGGGGCUCUGGAGGAGAGGGAACUACUGCGCUUAAACCCCAUUAACUGGAGUGGAACACUGAAAUAGACUGAACCUCAACACAUCCACUCUGAUCGAGAUGCAUCUUUUUGGCAGAUGGGACAGACUGUGUAAUUGCUAAUGGGUGGGUUAUAUUACCCCAUUAUAAUUGGACACAAUGAGACCACACUCAAAGUCUCAUUCUCCACAGUGCUGGGUAAUUGCAUGAUAACGUUUAGAUUUUAAUAGAAUCAGUUUGUUUUUUGAGGAUUUUCCGAGUUCAUUGAUAAAUUGAGAAACAUGCCAUUAUAGAGAAUUUCUCAGAUUAUGUUUAAAGAUUUUAUUGAAAGUGCAAAAAAGGGAAAUAUUUUAGGAAAAAAUGAGUCAAAGCUAUUUAAUUAAAUGGGAAAUAAUAGUUAGCAAAUUAUGUUUUUGCAGCAGGGAAGUGAGCCUUCUAGUCUAAUAAAGUGGGGGGAAAUCACAAUCAACCAAAUAGCUUGAUGGUUUCUAAAAGUCAUGGCACACAUAAUUCUGUAAAAUAAAAAAAGAAAGCAGAACAUUUGGAAACAUAUCACAGUAUUAAAUUCCCCCCAAAAAAUAUUCUUUGAAACCAAUGUCCAGGAAAUAAAAUAGAGUUUAUGUCUUGCAUUAAGGAGUGCAAAUACAUUUCUAAAACACACGUAACCACUCUAGUGUUAGAGCUCAUCUGGCAGUUUGACAAAUAAAUUAAAUGAACAUGCAGCAGUCGAUUCUCGUCCUGAAAAACAGAUAAUAAAUAAACAGACAAAGUCAUUGAAGUAACUUUUCACAUGCAUUCAUAAAAAAAAAUCAAGUUAAAAACAAUGGAAAUUAAUAAAACAGUUCUUCAUAAUGGAUGGAUUCCAGAGUAUUUCAAGGAGCUUGCUUUGAAAUGAUAAAGGCUCAACCCCACCCAAGCAGCAGGCCUACAUAGUGCAACACCUUACCCAGCAACACCAUAUCAAUAGCUCUACCAUUCAUUCUGAGAAAGCUUCGGUUUAAAAGCAUACAGCCAAAUUAAAUAACAAUAGGAUAGACAUGAUAAAUGCUCCGGACGUUCAUAUUAUGUGAAUAAAUAACUUUCUUUCUUGUGCAAUAUUUUCCCACAGAUGUAAAAUGAAAAUGCAUAAUAAAUGUGUGACAAUCA